GGGUUGUGAGGUUAAGCGACUAAGCGUACACGGUGGAUGCCCUGGCAGUCAGAGGCGAUGAAGGACGUGCUAAUCUGCGAUAAGCGUCGGUAAGGUGAUAUGAACCGUUAUAACCGGCGAUUUCCGAAUGGGGAAACCCAGUGUGUUUCGACACACUAUCAUUAACUGAAUCCAUAGGUUAAUGAGGCGAACCGGGGGAACUGAAACAUCUAAGUACCCCGAGGAAAAGAAAUCAACCGAGAUUCCCCCAGUAGCGGCGAGCGAACGGGGAGGAGCCCAGAGCCUGAAUCAGUGUGUGUGUUAGUGGAAGCGUCUGGAAAGGCGCGCGAUACAGGGUGACAGCCCCGUACACAAAAAUGCACAUGCUGUGAGCUCGAUGAGUAGGGCGGGACACGUGGUAUCCUGUCUGAAUAUGGGGGGACCAUCCUCCAAGGCUAAAUACUCCUGACUGACCGAUAGUGAACCAGUACCGUGAGGGAAAGGCGAAAAGAACCCCGGCGAGGGGAGUGAAAAAGAACCUGAAACCGUGUACGUACAAGCAGUGGGAGCCUCUUUUAUGGGGUGACUGCGUACCUUUUGUAUAAUGGGUCAGCGACUUAUAUUCUGUAGCAAGGUUAACCGAAUAGGGGAGCCGAAGGGAAACCGAGUCUUAACUGGGCGUUAAGUUGCAGGGUAUAGACCCGAAACCCGGUGAUCUAGCCAUGGGCAGGUUGAAGGUUGGGUAACACUAACUGGAGGACCGAACCGACUAAUGUUGAAAAAUUAGCGGAUGACUUGUGGCUGGGGGUGAAAGGCCAAUCAAACCGGGAGAUAGCUGGUUCUCCCCGAAAGCUAUUUAGGUAGCGCCUCGUGAAUUCAUCUCCGGGGGUAGAGCACUGUUUCGGCAAGGGGGUCAUCCCGACUUACCAACCCGAUGCAAACUGCGAAUACCGGAGAAUGUUAUCACGGGAGACACACGGCGGGUGCUAACGUCCGUCGUGAAGAGGGAAACAACCCAGACCGCCAGCUAAGGUCCCAAAGUCAUGGUUAAGUGGGAAACGAUGUGGGAAGGCCCAGACAGCCAGGAUGUUGGCUUAGAAGCAGCCAUCAUUUAAAGAAAGCGUAAUAGCUCACUGGUCGAGUCGGCCUGCGCGGAAGAUGUAACGGGGCUAAACCAUGCACCGAAGCUGCGGCAGCGACACUAUGUGUUGUUGGGUAGGGGAGCGUUCUGUAAGCCUGUGAAGGUGUGCUGUGAGGCAUGCUGGAGGUAUCAGAAGUGCGAAUGCUGACAUAAGUAACGAUAAAGCGGGUGAAAAGCCCGCUCGCCGGAAGACCAAGGGUUCCUGUCCAACGUUAAUCGGGGCAGGGUGAGUCGACCCCUAAGGCGAGGCCGAAAGGCGUAGUCGAUGGGAAACAGGUUAAUAUUCCUGUACUUGGUGUUACUGCGAAGGGGGGACGGAGAAGGCUAUGUUGGCCGGGCGACGGUUGUCCCGGUUUAAGCGUGUAGGCUGGUUUUCCAGGCAAAUCCGGAAAAUCAAGGCUGAGGCGUGAUGACGAGGCACUACGGUGCUGAAGCAACAAAUGCCCUGCUUCCAGGAAAAGCCUCUAAGCAUCAGGUAACAUCAAAUCGUACCCCAAACCGACACAGGUGGUCAGGUAGAGAAUACCAAGGCGCUUGAGAGAACUCGGGUGAAGGAACUAGGCAAAAUGGUGCCGUAACUUCGGGAGAAGGCACGCUGAUAUGUAGGUGAAGUCCCUCGCGGAUGGAGCUGAAAUCAGUCGAAGAUACCAGCUGGCUGCAACUGUUUAUUAAAAACACAGCACUGUGCAAACACGAAAGUGGACGUAUACGGUGUGACGCCUGCCCGGUGCCGGAAGGUUAAUUGAUGGGGUCAGCGCAAGCGAAGCUCUUGAUCGAAGCCCCGGUAAACGGCGGCCGUAACUAUAACGGUCCUAAGGUAGCGAAAUUCCUUGUCGGGUAAGUUCCGACCUGCACGAAUGGCGUAAUGAUGGCCAGGCUGUCUCCACCCGAGACUCAGUGAAAUUGAACUCGCUGUGAAGAUGCAGUGUACCCGCGGCAAGACGGAAAGACCCCGUGAACCUUUACUAUAGCUUGACACUGAACAUUGAGCCUUGAUGUGUAGGAUAGGUGGGAGGCUUAGAAGUGUGGACGCCAGUCUGCAUGGAGCCGACCUUGAAAUACCACCCUUUAAUGUUUGAUGUUCUAACGUUGACCCGUGAUCCGGGUUGCGGACAGUGUCUGGUGGGUAGUUUGACUGGGGCGGUCUCCUCCUAAAGAGUAACGGAGGAGCACGAAGGUUGGCUAAUCCUGGUCGGACAUCAGGAGGUUAGUGCAAUGGCAUAAGCCAGCUUGACUGCGAGCGUGACGGCGCGAGCAGGUGCGAAAGCAGGUCAUAGUGAUCCGGUGGUUCUGAAUGGAAGGGCCAUCGCUCAACGGAUAAAAGGUACUCCGGGGAUAACAGGCUGAUACCGCCCAAGAGUUCAUAUCGACGGCGGUGUUUGGCACCUCGAUGUCGGCUCAUCACAUCCUGGGGCUGAAGUAGGUCCCAAGGGUAUGGCUGUUCGCCAUUUAAAGUGGUACGCGAGCUGGGUUUAGAACGUCGUGAGACAGUUCGGUCCCUAUCUGCCGUGGGCGCUGGAGAACUGAGGGGGGCUGCUCCUAGUACGAGAGGACCGGAGUGGACGCAUCACUGGUGUUCGGGUUGUCAUGCCAAUGGCACUGCCCGGUAGCUAAAUGCGGAAGAGAUAAGUGCUGAAAGCAUCUAAGCACGAAACUUGCCCCGAGAUGAGUUCUCCCUGACCCUUUAAGGGUCCUGAAGGAACGUUGAAGACGACGACGUUGAUAGGCCGGGUGUGUAAGCGCAGCGAUGCGUUGAGCUAACCGGUACUAAUGAACCGUGAGGCUUAACCUUACAACGCCGAAGGUGUUU
This 2930-nucleotide ribosomal RNA is filed under the name Escherichia coli. Its description in RNAcentral is "23S ribosomal RNA". It matches the Rfam family "Bacterial large subunit ribosomal RNA". The record is from RNAcentral. Lineage: Bacteria; Pseudomonadati; Pseudomonadota; Gammaproteobacteria; Enterobacterales; Enterobacteriaceae.